UACUCUAUCAUAGCUGUAAAUGAGUGUUUUUUUGGUUGAAUAGCUGUAAACAAAUGUACGAAAUGUCAAUCAAACAAACCCAAAUUUUAGUAUAUGAUGAAGUAG
This 105-nucleotide microRNA precursor is filed under the name Prunus persica (peach). Its description in RNAcentral is "miR6272 stem-loop (ppe-MIR6272)". Lineage: Eukaryota; Viridiplantae; Streptophyta; Magnoliopsida; Rosales; Rosaceae. The record is from miRBase by way of RNAcentral.